This 253-nucleotide ribosomal RNA is filed under the name uncultured bacterium. RNAcentral describes it as "partial 16S ribosomal RNA". It matches the Rfam family "Bacterial small subunit ribosomal RNA", at positions 524 to 776 of the family's 1533-position model. The record is from RNAcentral.
UACGGGGGGGGCAAGCGUUGUUCGGAAUUACUGGGCGUAAAGGGCUCGUAGGCGGCCAACUAAGUCAGACGUGAAAUCCCUCAGCUUAACUGAGGAACUGCGUCUGAUACUGGAUGGCUUGGAUUCGGGAGAGGGAUGCGGAAUUCCAGGUGUAGCGGUGAAAUGCGUAGAUAUCUGGAGGAACACCGGUGGCGAAGGCGACUAUCUGGACAGAUACUGACACUGAGACACGAAAGCGUGGGGAGCAAACAGG